Molecule: ribosomal RNA, 283 nt
Filed under: uncultured Acholeplasma sp.
Lineage: Bacteria; Bacillati; Mycoplasmatota; Mollicutes; Acholeplasmatales; Acholeplasmataceae
Description: partial 16S ribosomal RNA
Rfam family: Bacterial small subunit ribosomal RNA
Source: RNAcentral
CGCAACCCUUAUUGCUAGUUACCAUCAUUCAGUUGGGGACUCUAGCGAGACUGCCAGUGAUAAACUGGAGGAAGGUGGGGAUGACGUCAAAUCAUCAUGCCCCUUAUGACCUGGGCUACAAACGUGAUACAAUGGCUGAAACAAAGGGCAGCGAAGCAGUGAUGUGGAGCGAAACCCAAAAAGCAGUCUCAGUUCGGAUUGAAGUCUGCAACUCGACUUCAUGAAGUCGGAAUCGCUAGUAAUCGCGGAUCAGAACGCCGCGGUGAAUACGUUCUCGGGGUUU